GGCACAUCCAAAGAGGGAGAGCAACUGAAUCAAGAGUCGUCAAUUUGUAAUUUAGGUAUUUCCCACACACACAAAGCCUUACCCAGCAACGCGUAGAAGUGAAAUCUAAUUGGAGAAAAACUCUGAAUUCUCAUUGGAUAAAAAUCCCGGGAACGCCACCAAGACCCGGAAAUGGUGCAUCCAAAGAGGGAGAGCAACUGAAUCAAGAGUCGUUUGUAAAUUGGGUAUUUCCCACACAAAGAAAGCACAGUCUUACCUUUGAUGCCAAACUUGGAAUUCCCGGCAAACUUGAUAAUGGCCAACAUGAGCAGGAGGCCGAAGAAGGCGACGGCGGCGAUUCCCACCACCACGUACACCUGCAAGAAUGUGAUAAAGCACCACUGAAAACACAGCAACCCGCCAAUGAGGUUGACAGGUGGUAACCAGUGCCAUGUUCCAGAAGAGGUCUGGUGAGGGCACCCCUGAGGUCACACAGGACAGCUGCACGUUGGAUCCCUCCAUGACGGUCACUUUAGGCUCUGGCGGGCUCAGCGUCGCCAUGGGAAGCUCUGCAGCAAAACACCAGGAAGACAAAGAAGGCGAUGAUGGAGUUAGACACACACACACACACACACAAUCAAAGAAACCUUGGAUUCAGAAUGCUGCCCCCUUUCCUUUCAAGUGUGCACACUCACCCACGGUCCACACACACACAAAGACAAACAGAGAAGUGGUUACGCUCAUUACUGAUGCAUGCCGACUCCUAAACUGAUUGGUCACAGCCAGAAUCUUCUUUCAGUGAGUGUAUGCUAACCAGGAGGACGACAAUUGGACUCAUCAAAUAAGGCAAAAGUCAAGUGUUAAAGUUCCAGGCAGGCUUCUCUACACUUCUGAAAAUAAAACCCGAAGCUCUGCCAAGUAUCCCAUCCAUCAGGCACAGACAUGGAAGUGUUGGAGAGUCUCAAUCGGGACAGCAGGUUGCGUGCUCCUCCAUCCUCAAUGCAGCGCAGCUCCUGAGUGUCUGCUUCUUCUCCCAGCCACAGCUUGAUCCACAUGUUCUCACAGGAGCAGCGCAGAGGGUUUCCCGUCAAGAUCCUGCACACACACACACACACACACACACAGUUAUUGCAGACGGUCAAGGACAGUGAGAACCAGAGCAACAAUGGACUACAAAGUUUAGUUUCUAUGCAGGUUAAACUAGGGAAAGACAAUGGAAAUAGACAUUGGAAAAUAAGCCUUAUUUUUAUCAGUGAAAUGAAUAGUUUUGUCACUUUGAUAUGUUGUAAGAAUGCGAAGAAAACUACAGGUAAGUCAACUCACAGGUAAGAGAUGUUGAGGUGUCUGAAUAUCGUCCAGGAGAGCGACGACAGGUUGUUAUCUUUCAGAUUCCUGCAAGACAAAUAUUUGAAUUAAGGUGUAUUGUUUUUUCUUGAAAUUGUAGUCAUCAUAAAAAUAAAAAUAAA
Long non-coding RNA from Doryrhamphus excisus (bluestripe pipefish), 1445 nucleotides. RefSeq lists it as uncharacterized. The record is from RefSeq and is a predicted model, not a curated record. NCBI's taxonomy places the organism in Eukaryota, Metazoa, Chordata, Actinopteri, Syngnathiformes, Syngnathidae.